AUUGAACGCUGGCGGCAUGCCUUACACAUGCAAGUCGAACGGCAGCACGGACUUCGGUCUGGUGGCGAGUGGCGAACGGGUGAGUAACAUAUCGGAACAUACCCUAGAGUGGGGGAUAACGUAGCGAAAGUUACGCUAAUACCGCAUACGAUCUAAGGAUGAAAGUGGGGGAUCUUCGGACCUCAUGCUCAUGGAGUGGCCGAUAUCUGAUUAGCUAGUUGGUGAGGUAAAGGCUCACCAAGGCGACGAUCAGUAGCUGGUUUGAGAGAACGACCAGCCACACUGGAACUGAGACACGGUCCAGACUCCUACGGGAGGCAGCAGUGGGGAAUUUUGGACAAUGGGGGCAACCCUGAUCCAGCAAUGCCGCGUGAGUGAAGAAGGCCUUC
Molecule: ribosomal RNA, 389 nt
Filed under: uncultured bacterium
Lineage: Bacteria
Description: bacterial SSU rRNA
Rfam family: Bacterial small subunit ribosomal RNA
Source: RNAcentral